GGUCAGUGAUGAGCUGACAUGUAUUCUGAAUCUAAAGUUGAUUAUUAGUACUUUAGUUCUAGAAUUACUGAGACAUG
Chlorocebus sabaeus (green monkey) is the source of this 77-nucleotide small nucleolar RNA. The record is from Ensembl. Lineage: Eukaryota; Metazoa; Chordata; Mammalia; Primates; Cercopithecidae.